Molecule: transfer RNA, 77 nt
Filed under: Bacilli bacterium
Lineage: Bacteria; Bacillati; Bacillota; Bacilli
Also listed under: 1 other name
Description: tRNA-Met
Rfam family: tRNA
About the family: Transfer RNA (tRNA) molecules are approximately 80 nucleotides in length. Their secondary structure includes four short double-helical elements and three loops (D, anti-codon, and T loops). Further hydrogen bonds mediate the characteristic L-shaped molecular structure. tRNAs have two regions of fundamental functional importance: the anti-codon, which is responsible for specific mRNA codon recognition, and the 3' end, to which the tRNAs corresponding amino acid is attached (by aminoacyl-tRNA synthetases). tRNAs cope with the degeneracy of the genetic code in two manners: having more than one tRNA (with a specific anti-codon) for a particular amino acid; and 'wobble' base-pairing, i.e. permitting non-standard base-pairing at the 3rd anti-codon position.
Source: RNAcentral
GGCUGGAUAGCUCAGCUGGCUAGAGCAAUCGGUUCAUACCCGGUCGGUCGACGGUUCGAAUCCGCCUCCAGCUACCA